CGAAAGGUCACGGCCUGGCUGCAGGUGAAUUCCAGACUGGCUGUCCAUCUGCGAGCUCGCGGGCCCGUGGGAGGCGGGCUCGGGGUUCUCAGCACACGAAACACGGAACCCACACCGCCUCUCGGUACCAUGUAUAGCUCUCGAUGUGCAUCCUAAGAUCACUGGUUCUUUUGGAAGAAAACAUGAUUAACAAGAGAACACGGAUAAUUCUCACAAAUCACAUUAAGAAAAGGAAAGUGGAUACAAAAGAAGCCACAUUAUCCAAUCCCAUCAUGAAGAACGGAUGCCGUGGGAAAACCUAAAGGUGGUUUCCUGUGGGCGCUGAGGAGGGAGUAUGAACAGCAUGAGGAAACCCUCUGGGGUCUUGGGAGUAGUUUAUGCCUGGAUAAUUUAACUGAAUGCUUUUAUCACUUUAUUGUUCGGAACCAUAAAAUUAAACUUACCGGAUGACAAAACACAGGGCAAACUUACUUGUUAUGUGAAGGGAAUUAGCUGACCUGUCUCAGAGUUCAUUAAAGUGAAAUAUAGCAGAAAGCAUCUCUAAGCUCUGUAUGAGUGAACUUCCUAAAAAAACAUACUUGUGGAGCAGAAGCAAAUAUAUUUGAAGAGUUAUACAAGAAGUUUAU
This 626-nucleotide long non-coding RNA is filed under the name Vulpes vulpes (red fox). RNAcentral describes it as "lncRNA (ENSVVUG00000029616.1)". Lineage: Eukaryota; Metazoa; Chordata; Mammalia; Carnivora; Canidae. The record is from RNAcentral.